This 654-nucleotide ribosomal RNA is filed under the name uncultured Pseudomonadota bacterium. RNAcentral's name for it is "bacterial SSU rRNA". It matches the Rfam family "Bacterial small subunit ribosomal RNA", at positions 63 to 706 of the family's 1533-position model. Lineage: Bacteria; Pseudomonadati; Pseudomonadota. The record is from RNAcentral.
CGAACGGUAACAGAAAGCAGCUUGCUGCUUUGCUGACGAGUGGCGGACGGGUGAGUAAUGUCUGGGAAACUGCCCGAUGGAGGGGGAUAACUACUGGAAACGGUAGCUAAUACCGCAUAACGUCGCAAGACCAAAGAGGGGGACCUUCGGGCCUCUUGCCAUCGGAUGUGCCCAGAUGGGAUUAGCUAGUAGGUGGGGUAAAGGCUCACCUAGGCGACGAUCCCUAGCUGGUCUGAGAGGAUGACCAGCCACACUGGAACUGAGACACGGUCCAGACUCCUACGGGAGGCAGCAGUGGGGAAUAUUGCACAAUGGGCGCAAGCCUGAUGCAGCCAUGCCGCGUGUAUGAAGAAGGCCUUCGGGUUGUAAAGUACUUUCAGCGGGGAGGAAGGGAGUAAAGUUAAUACCUUUGCUCAUUGACGUUACCCGCAGAAGAAGCACCGGCUAACUCCGUGCCAGCAGCCGCGGUAAUACGGAGGGUGCAAGCGUUAAUCGGAAUUACUGGGCGUAAAGCGCACGCAGGCGGUUUGUUAAGUCAGAUGUGAAAUCCCCGGGCUCAACCUGGGAACUGCAUCUGAUACUGGCAAGCUUGAGUCUCGUAGAGGGGGGUAGAAUUCCAGGUGUAGCGGUGAAAUGCGUAGAGAUCUGGAGGAA